Molecule: ribosomal RNA, 497 nt
Filed under: uncultured bacterium
Lineage: Bacteria
Description: partial 16S ribosomal RNA
Rfam family: Bacterial small subunit ribosomal RNA
Source: RNAcentral
GAUGAACGCUGGCGGCGUGCCUAAUACAUGCAAGUCGAGCGAACGGACGAGAAGCUUGCUUCUCUGAUGUUAGCGGCGGACGGGUGAGUAACACGUGGAUAACCUACCUAUAAGACUGGGAUAACUUCGGGAAACCGUAGCUAAUACCGGAUACUAUUUUGAACCGCAUGGUUCAAAAGUGAAAGACGGUCUUGCUGUCACUUAUAGAUGGAUCCGCGCUGCAUUAGCUAGUUGGUAAGGUAACGGCUUACCAAGGCAACGAUGCAUAGCCGACCUGAGAGGGUGAUCGGCCACACUGGAACUGAGACACGGUCCAGACUCCUACGGGAGGCAGCAGUAGGGAAUCUUCCGCAAUGGGCGAAAGCCUGACGGAGCAACGCCGCGUGAGUGAUGAAGGUCUUCGGAUCGUAAAACUCUGUUAUUAGGGAAGAACAUAUGUGUAAGUAACUGUGCACAUCUUGACGGUACCUAAUCAGAAAGCCACGGCUAACUACGUG